GCGAUGAGCUGAAUUGUGUAAGUCGGGAACACUCCCUUUUGGGAACAUGCGAUGUGGCGCAUGGUUACCCGCCUCAAUACGCAGAAAGGCGCCUAUCCUCGGAUAGGCGCC
Molecule: small RNA, 111 nt
Filed under: Bacillus sp. FJAT-18017
Lineage: Bacteria; Bacillati; Bacillota; Bacilli; Caryophanales; Bacillaceae
Description: BsrF
Rfam family: BsrF
Source: Rfam by way of RNAcentral